UGGGGAAUAUUGCACAAUGGGCGCAAGCCUGAUGCAGCCAUGCCGCGUGUGUGAAGAAGGCCUUCGGGUUGUAAAGCACUUUCAGCGAGGAGGAAGGUGGUGAACUUAAUACGUUCAUCAAUUGACGUUACUCGCAGAAGAAGCACCGGCUAACUCCGUGCCAGCAGCCGCGGUAAUACGGAGGGUGCAAGCGUUAAUCGGAAUUACUGGGCGUAAAGCGCACGCAGGCGGUUUGUUAAGUCAGAUGUGAAAUCCCCGGGCUCAACCUGGGAACUGCAUUUGAAACUGGCAAGCUAGAGUCUCGUAGAGGGGGGUAGAAUUCCAGGUGUAGCGGUGAAAUGCGUAGAGAUCUGGAGGAAUACCGGUGGCGAAGGCGGCCCCCUGGACGAAGACUGACGCUCAGGUGCGAAAGCUGGGGAGCAAACAGGAUUAGAUACCCUGGUAGUCCACGCUGUAAAACGAUGUCGAUUU
This 471-nucleotide ribosomal RNA is filed under the name uncultured bacterium. RNAcentral's name for it is "partial 16S ribosomal RNA". It matches the Rfam family "Bacterial small subunit ribosomal RNA", at positions 355 to 818 of the family's 1533-position model. The record is from RNAcentral.